UCACUUAUUAUCCUUAGAUUGCAUGUACUGACUUCAAAAUCCAAUAACUCCUUUACUUUAACUUAGAAUCUAGUAAGAAAUAUGCAAAAAGCAUAGCUGCAAAAGUGCUCUCUUCAAUCGCAGUUGCCAAUCCUCAAUUGCCUUCCGUACACAUGCGUUAUAUCAAAAAGAGUGAUAGUAGCUUCUAAAUCAAUACCUUAACUUUGAGUGUCUAUAUCUCCUUCAUAUAAACUCCAAAUCAUAUAAGAUUUGCAUUAAAACCAUAGCCAAAAACCUAAACUUGC
RNAcentral lists this long non-coding RNA (284 nucleotides) under Physcomitrium patens. RNAcentral describes it as "long non-coding RNA (PPAT_LNC014816)". Lineage: Eukaryota; Viridiplantae; Streptophyta; Bryopsida; Funariales; Funariaceae. The record is from RNAcentral.